UUUGGUCAAAAGAGGUGAGUGCGCUUGAUUCAUUCUUUGUGUUUGGGUUUGGGCGAACGAAACCCCUGUCACUGCAAUUUGGGGUUAUUGCAUUUCAAUUUGGGGCUUCCGUUUCCAUAUCUAGCUUCAACUUACGCAAUGCCUGUUUCUGAUUCUCCAUCUGUGUCAGAUGAUCCUUCUCUUCAAGAAGAGGAAGAUGAUGAAGAAGGCUCCGAGGAAGAAGAAGAAGUAGAAGAGGAAGAAGAUCAAGAUCAGGAAGACGAAGAAGUUGAAGAAGAAGAGGAAGAGGUCGAAGAAGUUGAAGAAGAAGAGGAAGAGGUCGAAGAAGUUGAAGAGGAGGUGAAGGAAGAAGUUGAAGAAGAAGAGGAGGAGGAGGAGGAAGUUGAAGAGGAGGAGGAGGAAGAAGAAACAGUAGAGGUGGAAGAGGAGGAGGAAGAAGUUGAAGAGGAAGUUGAGGAGGAGGAAGAAGAAGUUGAAGAAGAAGAGGAAGAACAAGAAACAGUAGUAGAGAAGAAAAAUGAAGACAAAGAUGAGAUUCCAGUUUCUCUGCCUGAUGAGAAUGAGCUUAACAAAGAAACUGUGGAAGAGGAAGAGGAAGAGGAAGAGGAGGAGGAGGAAGAAGAAGAAGAAAAAGAAGAAGCAAUAGAGAUGGAAGAAGAGGAAAAACAAGAAACUGUAGUAGAGGAGAAAGAUAAAGACAAAAAUGGGGUUCCGGAUUCUCUUCCUGACACGGAUAAACAUAGCAAAGAUUCAUGCCAAAACAUGGAGCUUGAUGUAAAAGAGGAGAAUUUGGGUUCAGUUUCUUCUGUGCCUGAGAAUCCUGAAGUAAUACGGUCAUCACAUGAUAUGGAAGAGAGCAAUGUCGUGCUUUUAGCAUCUGGUCCGCCGCAUGAGGAAUUGACAUUGAAACAAGAAGUUUCUAGUCCUCCAAAACCAAGUGAAAACUUGAUUUCUGCUGAAGAUGAGAAAAAUCAAGGCUUAAAUGUUGAUGCUGAAAAUUCUGGAUAUCUUCAGAAGAAAACCUUUGGAGGAUGCAGUGAACCAGUUUGCAAUAGCAAAGCUUCUUUAUCUGAUGUUAAGGACAUUGAUUCUAGGGCCACCAAGUCAUCUAGUAAUAAUACGGUAAAAGACGUGGUUACUGGAAUCAUACCAAGAGAUGAUUUUGUCGAGAAUUCUGAUGGUGGUCAGAACUCUAAGGAGAAAAUUAAGCAGUCAGAGACGGAGUCAAGGGUUGAUGUGAAACAAAAGCCAUCAAGUAGGGCUAGAAGUCCGUCUCCCAGUGCUCAGAUUACAGACGGAAACAAAAGACGUGCAGUUAUAUGUGCUUUUUUCGCUAAAGGUUGGUGCAUCAGAGGUAGUUCUUGUAGCUUUCUUCAUAUAAAAGAUAGUGCGAGUAAUACCGACCAGGGAGCUGAAGGAAACCUAGUUAAUGCACAUCAGAAGAGGGAAUUGAAAUUGGAAAAAGUUAAGGAAAAUGUUGGCGUGUCAAGAACGAAUGAGGGAGAAGCAAGUCCAAGAUGGCAUCCAUCUCAUGAAAAAGAGAAGUUUCCGACGAGGGACAGCUUGUUUCCAAAGAAGACAUCAAACAAUUAUUUCAGCUCAAAUCUUUCCUCGUAUUCAUCCCGUGCAGAGGGAAUGGCUUCUAUUCGAAACCAACAUGUGUACAGAGGAUAUACACCGACAAAAGAUUUUAAUUCGUCUUUAGGUGCAAGUGCUUUGGACUCUCAAAAGCUCUUGAACAGUGACAAGGAAUAUCACGCCUAUAAGUCCACUUUCUCUUCAGACCGGGAAGAUCUAGGUGGUUCAUCUAGGGUUUCACCACAUGCUAAUGGAUAUAAACUGAAAACCCGUUCGUAUGAUUGGGAACCUUCUGUUCCAUUUCGACCGUCCUUUUUUAUUACUUCUAUGAAUGUAUCAUCCCCUGGAGAUCUUUAUGACCCUCUUCGCGAUAGCAUUGAGAUACCUAAUAUUGGAGACGGGUCUUUGAAAGCUUCCCUUCUAAUUCGAGGGUCAUCUAUCCAGGCUUCAUCACAGUUGCGGACAUAUGAUGAUUCUGCUGCAGUUGGGAAACACAUGUCCGAUCUUAAUGAUGACAAAAGUUCGGUAUCUUCCCAUAAUAAAUUUUAUGAAAAUGAGCCAAACAGAAGUUCUGUUCCUCGUGGAAAAGAUUCUCUUGCAACCAAAACAGAAAUAACAUCAGGUACUUGUGCGAACUACCAAAAUGGUAACAUAGAUGUGGGACAAAAUGCCUUUGGUGUUGAAGAUAGGAUUGAAACAACGAAAAAACGGACCAAGCAUGAUGCUAGGCAUCACGGUGAUGGAUCAGAGCACAAAAAUAAAAGAGUAGCAAGGGAUGAUAAAAUUCAUGAAAUGGAGGUUGACUUUCAGACGGAUGGCAGUAUGCACAAAGAAACAAAGGCGCUGAAAAUUUUUCGUGCAGCCCUUGUUGAUCUAGCAAAAGAGUUGCUAAAACCAUUUUGGCAUGAGGGUCGUCUCAGCAAGGAAGCACAUAUAACAAUAGUUAAAAAAUCAGUUGACAAGGUUGUUAGCACUUUAGAGCCACACCAAAUUCCAACAAAUGAAGAUUCUGCUCAGCAAUAUAUUUCUUCAUGUCGGCCGAAAAUUACAAAGGAUAUGUCAAUAAACAUGGCAAAUCUUGAUAUGCAAGCCCAAACACCUUCUUUGUACAGUUUCUGAUGAGUUUGGCCGAUUCCAAUUCAUGACAACUUCCGCCUGAGGCUAUCUGUUUCAAAGUCAAGGUUGAUUUGGAAUAUUUUGAGUUCUCUUUCAAGAUGUUUACUUCAUGUUUUUUCCGCGCUUUCUCUUGCUUAUUCCAUUCUGAAGUAAACUAGCUUGAAUUGCAUGGUUUAUAAGGAUAUCUUAUUUUCAUUAAUUUGCAUAAUUACGUACUUGUUUAGCAACAUUUGGUGUAACUUUCAAGCGUCUGCAAGUAUUGGUAUUGGGCAGCAACUUGGAAAGACUGGAAAUGGCUUGAUUCCAUUAGAUCAAAACACGAUAAGAAGGAGAGCAGAUUUCUUUUGGGUCCAUGUAGAAGGUGUUCUUCUGCUUUCGUGCAGAAGGAGACAAACAGAGGAGAAGAACUUGUAAGAACUGUACGCAAGAGGAAGAGAAACAAGGUAAGAAGAAGAAAUGUGAGGAACUGUCGUUUUCCUGAGAAAUAAGUCACUUAAAAUAAAUCGAAAGACCAGUAUAUUUUAAAAAAGAAACAGAAUAGUUAAAAUUAUAUUAGAUGCAAAACACACAAACUAGGUGCCAUUUCUUUGCCAACUUGCGUGAUUUGCGGCUUUGACCACCACACCUCUAAAAUUGAAGCACAAACAUGAUGAAGGUAUUGGAUAUCUGAUAUGGUGAUGCGUCAAUAAUUGAAAAAUAUAGGAUACAAUACAAUAUGUUUAAGAAACAUAUAUAAAAAUUAAAAUUAGACAUUGGUUAAAUCGUUGUCUAUAAUAAAGUUUAUUAGAGGAUGGGACGGACCACAAAGAAUGAUAUGGCUUUAUACCACGAUGAAGUUAAUAGGGUUUUAGAUAAAUAAAAUGUUCUUUUUUUAAAUAAUUAAAUAUGAUCGAUGAUCAUGAUUUGAUGUAAACAAAGCACUAAGCCUUACAAGAUUCCGAUUCCUAAUAUAUGGAAACUAAUCUUAAGAUAUAAUCUAAGAUUGUCAAGGAUAAUAUCAAGAUAUUAUAAAAUAUUUUCAUAUAAGCUUAGCAAUAAUAACUUGCAGAAUAAAUAAAAAUAAAAUGUAUAUGUAUUGGAUGAUUAGAGAGAAGAGAGAGCUGAAUGUAUUGAAUGAUUACUGGCGAGUUCUGUUUGUGUGAGUCUAUAUAUAGUAAGUUAAAGAAUAACUAUUAGAGGUAGUUAAUGCAACUACCACCACUGAAAUACGGCAGUUAAAAUAUCACAAUUUCAGAGGAACUACUGUGAUAUUCUCUUCUGAAGCUCAAGGUGGGUGAGUAACAAAGGGUACCUCAAACUCAUUGAGCUUGUCCCUUAUAAAGUUAGAACUAGGAAUCUGGAGUCUGGACGAAGGGAGAACUUUGUUAAUCAAUCAGUAAGCACUUUUUUUUUUCCAAACGAAGAACCGAUCCAAUUCUUUGUGCUUUGCAUAUGCAUGCAAAACCAGGUUAUUACAGAACACUCCUAGAGUGGAGAAGAGAACCAAAACUCAGACAAUCGUUUUUGGAUUCAAAGAGUGUAAGAAGUAGCUUGAGCUAAGAUUUCAUAUUCAGCUUCAAUGCUAGAACGUUCCACAAUUGUCUGUGUCUACAACCACCAGGAUUCUAGGAAAUCAGAUUGGAUCCCCAAAAUAAUUGUAGCCCCUGAAGCAGACAUAUGCAGUCAUAUGAGUCAGCAGCCUAGUCUUCAUAGCAAAAAGCUGUUAAAGUGAGAAAUUAAUAAGGUAAACCUGAAAACAAAUGAAGGUCACAAGUAUCGUUGAGAUAGCGGAAGAUCCUUUUGAGUGUGCAACAAUAAACCAUUAGAGGUCAUACCUUCAUGCUAAAAAAAUAGUCAAGAGACUCUAAUUGCUUGAAAGCAAAUAUCGAGUUGAGUUUGGUAAUAAACUAUUGGAUCAAGUGAGCAGAGCUACCCUUGAACCCAACCUGAAUUAGAGUACCUCUCAGUUCAAACUAGGUUGUUUUCACCCAUAAUUUGCUUUAUUCAGGUCGCAAGCCUGAGUUGUCUUGAUGAUCAUAGCUUUGAGGCUAUGUCAUGUAGACCUCUUCCUCUUGAAGGCCAUUGAGAACCACAUUCUUCACCAAGUUGUUCUUAUAGACCAAUUUAUAGCGAAGACAAGAGCUAGAAUCAUUCUGACGGCGACAAGUUUGAUGACAGAUGAGAAAGUUUCAUUGAAGUCCAAACCUUGCACUUGCUGGAAACCCUAGAAACCAAACGAUCUUUGUAUUUAUUGAGAGUGCAAUCAGUUCUGGCACUUUUGUACACAACACAAGAAUUUGUUUUCUAAUAUGAUGCGAUUAGCCAAGAGAUCAAGGCAGUUUUGAUGCAGGGCAAUAGACCAGUAGUCUAUUUCUGCCAGGCACUCUCAUCAAGAAUCCUAUCCAUACAGAUGUUCAAACAUAGGUGGUAAAUUGAUCCUUAGAGACCAUCUUUCGGUGCUUUGGAUUGGAGUGUCCUAAGUAGUGCUCAUAAGGCUUGGGCUAUCUUCACCUUACAAGUCGAUUUUGAAAGGUUGAUAUGGGGCCAACCCAAAUUCUAAGAUAGUGUUAUAGCCUAUUCUAGAUCUGUUGUCGAGGACUUUUCAUAUCGUCCACGCUUCAGGCCCUUUGGUCUUAGGUGUGACAGGGUUGGAAAUUUCAUCUUAAUUGUGGUCCACCUCUAGCCAUCUAAUUGCAGCAUUUAGAUUGCCGCCAAGUUCUAAAAGUUUAGAACAGUUUCUUCCAUAAGAACAGUGCUUAUGUGUGGCGUCCAUGCCAUCUUAGCUGUAAGUUCUCAGUUAAGAAUUCUGCUAGUAAUGGUCUCUCUGCAUGUCAUGAAAUUAGUUUUGAUUCAACACGACAUAGGUGCUGUAUGACAGCAUUCCCCACCAUAAUUUGGCAUCUGAGUGGUGAGACCAAGGCGGGUUCUGUAGCCCAACUGCCCAAGGUAAUAUUGAUGGUUGACAGGAAUUAAGCCUUGAGGCAGCUUAAAUAUCACCUUCAUUAGGCCCAACAAACUAUUUAGAGAUAUGCUGAUUCACACGGGAGGCAUGUAAAGUCUGUAGAAGGGGAUUGAGUUCGUUUGAAACUGAGACAGCUUAGACUAAGCUUGGCUGCUAGAAGGAUCAACACCAAGCCUUCUCCACAUUAUUUUUGUCCUUUUCAGAUGGUUUCUUGCUUAGGGGAGGUUGCUUACAUGGUCCAGCUACUGGGCUUAGGAUAUAUCUCGUGUUUCAUGUCUCUCAACUCAAACAUAACAUGCAAUGAAAGGGGAAUCUGUAGCAGCAACCUUAUUUCCUGAGAUGAAAGUCAAUAACCCGAUCCUGUGGUCACCCAAAGCAGCGUUGAGUGUUGACCACCACAGAAAGGAGGUGUAAUGGUAAGUCACUAAUCCAAGAGCAGUUUGCAUCUUUCAGGAUCUGGCAGGAUUAGUGGGGAACUAGUAAGAGGUAGGAGGGUUAGUUAUGGAGAGGAUGGGGUCUUUUAUAUAGGCUAGGCGGGAAAGAUGAAACUAAAUCUGAGUAUUGAUGAUAGUUGAAGCUUAGAAAAUUCUCUUCCUUGUGUUUUGUUAGUUUCACAGUAAUACCGAAACUGAAACUAACGGGAACUCCUAUCACCCCCUCCCUGAUUUUAGCCUCUACAAAUAUUGUUCAUGCAUAAAUAGUCAUCUUACUAUUAAAGGUACUGGUAUCAAUGAGUCCAUGUGCUGCACAGUAUCCUAGCCCAUAUAACUACCACUAACUAACUCCUAAAAUCUAGGAAAUGGACUCUAGAUUUAAGGAGCCCUGUAACCAACUAAAUUGACUCCACGAGAUCCAAAUCCUUGAAGACCGGCUGAGUACAUCUCACAAGAGGAGUUAGGGUUUGAUGCAGUGAAGCCAACUUGAAGAUCUACUGUUUGAGGUGUGUCGUUCGAAGCAGUAGACGACACUGUUGGAUUCACAUUUGCAUAAGCAAUUGUGUUCUUGCAAAACCGGUCCAGUUGCGACUCAUGACAGAGAAGAAGAGUGUCAACUUCUAUGGAAAUAAUGCCAAAAUUGCCUGUGAUGAAGCUGACUGUAGAUUCAAAAUCUUGAGGAUGAAGCUGACUGUAGAUUCGAAAUCUUGAGGUAAUCCUUUGAGGAUUACAUCAAGGUGUUCACGUGGGAAGAUCGGCUCACCAAUGACAUUGAUAUAUCCAACCAACAUUUGAACAGGAAGAAGUAAUUCAGAAAUUGAGUUCUUGCAGUUUCCUAGCUUCGUGUGUCUGAGUUCAGAUCAAAGCUGGCAGAGCUUCGCUGCCGAUUGUUGCUGGAAGUUGGCGGGAAUUUUGUCCAAAAGCAUCCACGAACUCUUGCAUCCGAUGACGCAGCGAAGCAUAUCACGAGAUAUAGUUGAUUGCAGCCAUGCGAGAAACACUUGAUUUUGUUGUUCCCAUAGCUCAAACUCGGGAGAAAUGUGAUCAUGAUUCGCAUCAUUAAUUGAAGCAUACUUGACUGGAAUUUUAGGAUUGAGCAAGAAUUGAUGAAGUUUGUGAGCUUUGAUUUCAGGUUCUACCUGUUGGCACCAUAUGAGAUAGUUGUCUGGAUCAAGCUUUGGAGUUGGCGGAGAGCGCAUGAAGGUGCAACCUGCUGCGCUGGUGUGGGAGGAUCAGAGGCCUCAGGAUCGAAGGGAGCUUCUACUGAUACCAUGUUCAAUUCUCAAUUUAGUUUUCUCAAAUUCUGUUUUGCAUUACUAUCGCUUGAAACUGAUUACAAAGUGAUUGAGAUCUAUUUAUAGAUUCAUAGAUCUCAAUUUAGUUAGUUACAAGGCUCCUUAAAUCUAGGGGCAUAGUUUCCUAGAUUUUAGGAGUUAGUUAGGGGUAGUUAUAUGAGUUUCCUAGUUAUAUCAUAGAUCUCACGGGGUAACAUAGCAGUAAGCUUAUGUGCUCAUGUUUUAAAUUGGUUAUCAUUCAGAUUUAAGAGGUUUGUGGUUCUGCAAAUUUUCAAGAAAAUGGCGGCACCUAGGCAAGGAAGUAAAAAAGGAUACAAUUUUUUUCGUUCUUUCUUUAGGGUAUGUUUGGAUUAUAUAAAACUAACGGAGCGGAACAAAACGGAAUAGAACGGAGCGGAACAAAACGGAAUUGAAUGGAGGGGAACAAAAUGGAGCGGAAUGGAAUAUAAACUCCAUUCCAUUGUUUGCAUAUUUUACGAUGGAGUAAAACUAAUAUCUCAUUCCAUUAUAAUCUUAUUAUUUCAUUUUUAUCCUUUACUUCAAAAACAUUAAUAUGAUUAAUGAAAGUGAAAAUUUAGAGGACAAAUUUGUAAUUUUGUUACUAAUUUAUUCCAUUCCAUUGGAUACACUCCAAUUUGAAAGGAAUGAAAAUGGGUUAAAAUAGUGGUAUUGGAGAGAAUGAGUUCCAUCACAUUCCAUUCCUUUUUUGUACUCCCUUCGUCCCAUAAUGAGUUAGGGGUGGCAAACGGACAUGCCCGCCCCGUUUAGGUCCGCCCCGCGAAAGCCCAAAAAAAUGGGACGGGGCGGAGCGGGACGGUCAUAGUUGAGGAUGUGGGUCUAAAACUUAGGCCCGCCCCGCAAAAAAGUGAGGGCGGGACGGGGAAAUUACGCGGGCACUGCACUCUUUAAGUCUAAAAAUGCAAAAAAUUAUGUAAAUGCACGUGCCCGCAAAAGCCCGCGAGAAAAACAGGGUGGGGCGGACACAUUAAAGGGUGAUUACCUGCCCCGCACUAAAGUGCGGGCAAAACGGUCAUGCCCAGCGGGCCGGACCCGUUUUACCAUCCCUAUAAUGAGUGACUCAGUUGACCAUUUCAUAUAGAUUAAGAAAAAAGAAUAAAUGGAAGGGAGAAAAUGAUAUUUUUACUAAAGUACCCCUUAUCAAGUAUUGAGAAUCAUGAAAGUAAUAUUCCCUCGAUUCUACAAUGAGUGAUCUAUUUAGAAUAAAAAAGUGUCCCAAAAUAAAUGAUCCAUUUCAACUUUCAAUACACUUUUUCCAAUUGUACUCUCUAAUUAAUAUCACUUUAAUCAUUCUCAAUAUUUGACAAGGGCCCUUUAGUAAAAAUAUCAUUCUCUCUUUCAUUUAUUCCUUUUUAUUAAUCUGUGUGAAAUGGUCAACAGUAUUCAUUGUUGACGGAUGGAGUAUUAAUUAGAGGGUAGAAUUAGAAGAAGUGUAUUGAAAAUUGAAAUGAAUCAUUAAUUUUGGGACACCUUAUUAUUCCAAAUGGAUCACUUAUUGUGAGACGGAGGAAAUAAAACUAAACAAUGGAACAUGACACCAUUUCAUUCCAUCAAUUUCCUUCAACCCCAUAAGACCCUUAAUGGGUAAGAGUUCACAAGGGCUAUAACUUUACUCGGUACUAAACAUCAUGUAAAAUACUUAGAUAGUUCUGUAGAUCUGAAGCUGACAAAAAAAAACUCAAUAGCAAGCCAUAUAACAAGUGAUCAGCAAGUUUAUAUCAAAUAGAAAGUUUAUAAUAAACCAAAUAAAAUAAAAAUGAGAGAAAAUAUCCAUAGCAUAGAGGUUUAUUAUUUUGAUAAGUAGAUGCUAAUAUAACCUAAUUUUGCAGUAACUGAUCCUGAAAUGAAGCAUGACCCCGAACUUUUUUCAGAUUCCACUUAACUAGAAAAAUGCAAAUUUCUGGUCUUGCAAGUAAUAAUUGCACGAGGGAUAAGUCUUGUAUCAGUAUAUUUUCAAAUUUUCUCUUUGAACAGUGUGUGCUUUAACAGCACCUUGCUUAGCAGUUCGGCAUUCUCGACAUGGUGAUAGAAAAGACAUAAUUUUCUGGCAAAACCCUGUUCUCUUCAUAGUGUUUUGCUUGUUUGUAUGUUUGCUUGCUUUGCCAAGUUCAUGAUAUUUCAUACUGCUGCCUGUUUUUCCGCUCGACAUUUCACUACUGAUAUGACUUGCUAGUAAUGAUCUCGAGGAACUGGUUGGAGUUACAAUCAAAUUCUGAGUUGUUUCAAACGCAAAUGCUUGUGGCUGAAGUUGAAGUUGACCAUUGGAAAUAAGCUGAUCAGCAGGUGUUAUCUUGAUUGGACUGACAGGAGAAGGGAGGUUUUUCUGUUGGUCUUGAAUUGAAACAAGGCCACUAAAAGAGAGCGAGUCCAUUGAAAUGCUAUCAGACACAAGUUUUGUAGGAGGCUUGUUUCCCUUCAUGGUAUGCAUUGAUUCAUGAUCCGAAAUGGCUAUAUCGCUUGAAAACUUAUACAUGCCGAAACUUGCCUUCAUCAAAUUGUUUUAUUUUUCUUGACCCCUUUGAGAAAGAGGAAGGGUAAGCUCAUGCAUAUAUAUAAUUUUCAUUGUCACAUCAAUGAUUUGGUCCAUAUAUAUCCACAGAGGUGUUUACAUUUUGGUGGAUAUUACCAAAGUGAAUACAUUGGUUUCUUAAGGUCACUGUCAAAUCUUGACAUCUUAAUAAGUUUGUAUGACAGUCAUAUCUUCCAUUUUUGUCUUUGCUGUGAGCGUCUUUUGAGCUUACUUGAGGCAUUGCCACUCAUAGCAAUACUCAAAUGGCUGAUUCUACAAGGAUGGCUGUCUUGUUAGCUGAAGAGUUCAGUAUGUUUUGUUUAUUUCUCUUUGCUGAUUAAUUAUUGUUGUAUGUUUCACCACCAUUGAGAUUUUUUUCUUGUUAAAUCACCGACCGAGGUUGGUUGUGGCUGGCCGCAGGCCUAGUAAGUCGAUUAUUUUUUAUAAAAAUGUUGAUUUAUAAAUAUCAACAAUUUAUUAGUUUUAA
This is an RNA transcript of Lathyrus oleraceus (garden pea), 10378 nucleotides long. It is a transcript of the gene named DEK domain-containing chromatin-associated protein 4, with no coding region annotated. The record is from RefSeq and is a predicted model, not a curated record. NCBI's taxonomy places the organism in Eukaryota, Viridiplantae, Streptophyta, Magnoliopsida, Fabales, Fabaceae. The transcript is spliced from 10 exons.